CGGGAGGCAGCAGUAGGGAAUCUUCCGCAAUGGACGAAAGUCUGACGGAGCAACGCCGCGUGAGUGAUGAAGGUUUUCGGAUCGUAAAGCUCUGUUGUUAGGGAAGAACAAGUGCAAGAGUAACUGCUUGCACCUUGACGGUACCUAACCAGAAAGCCACGGCUAACUACGUGCCAGCAGCCGCGGUAAUACGUAGGUGGCAAGCGUUGUCCGGAAUUAUUGGGCGUAAAGGGCUCGCAGGCGGUUUCUUAAGUCUGAUGUGAAAGCCCCCGGCUCAACCGGGGAGGGUCAUUGGAAACUGGGAAACUUGAGUGCAGAAGAGGAGAGUGGAAUUCCACGUGUAGCGGUGAAAUGCGUAGAGAUGUGGAGGAACACCAGUGGCGAAGGCGACUCUCUGGUCUGUAACUGACGCUGAGGAGCGAAAGCGUGGGGAGCGAACAGGAUUAGAUACCCUGGUAGUCCACGCCGUAAACGAUGAGUGCUAAGUGUUAGGGGGUUUCCGCCCCUUAGUGCUGCAGCUAACGCAUUAAGCACUCCGCCUGGGGAGUACGGUCGCAAGACUGAAACUCAAAGGAAUUGACGGGGGCCCGCACAAGCGGUGGAGCAUGUGGUUUAAUUCGAAGCAACGCGAUGUCCUUACCAGGUCUUGACAUCCUCUGACAACCUCUAGAGAUA
Molecule: ribosomal RNA, 675 nt
Filed under: Bacillus pumilus
Lineage: Bacteria; Bacillati; Bacillota; Bacilli; Caryophanales; Bacillaceae
Description: bacterial SSU rRNA
Rfam family: Bacterial small subunit ribosomal RNA
Source: RNAcentral